CAACUUCGUCGAUUUCACAUCACGUACGCUGCAAAUAUUCACAGCACGAGCAAAUAGGGAAACGAACUGCAAACUGCGAAAACACAACGGAAAUGUUUCCAGGGGGGGCCAUAAUCAGUGACGGACCCACAUCCAUCCGGUUGUCUUCGCGCUUCUGAAUGUGCGCUUUUGUUGCUUAUGGCUACAAGACAUUGAAAUGUUCUGUCCGUUUUGUGCUGUGCAACUGGGGGACGCUCCCAAGUUUUGCCCGUCGUGUGGUAUGAACGUGGGGUUCCUUACGGAGCGUCCAUCCACGUCAUCAAGCGUAGGCCAUGGGCCUACAGAGGAUGACCUAAUACGUGCCUACUUCAGAAAGGACCACUCCAAUGAGAUUAUUAGAGAUUUUUUGGAGUCAAAGCAUGGGAUUGUUAUGAGCCUGAAAACUCUAAAAAGAAGGCUGAAACGGUUAAACCUAAGUCGGAGAGCAAAUUA
Long non-coding RNA from Carassius auratus (goldfish), 471 nucleotides. RefSeq lists it as uncharacterized. Lineage: Eukaryota; Metazoa; Chordata; Actinopteri; Cypriniformes; Cyprinidae. The record is from RefSeq and is a predicted model, not a curated record. The transcript is spliced from 3 exons.